Lonchura striata (white-rumped munia) is the source of this 1243-nucleotide non-coding RNA. The record is from RefSeq and is a predicted model, not a curated record. Lineage: Eukaryota; Metazoa; Chordata; Aves; Passeriformes; Estrildidae.
GGGGGAAGUUAUUUGGAAAUAAAAAAAGCCAAGGGGGGGAUGGAGAACUGAGCGCAGGCGGAAGGACGGGUCUCGCCUGUGUUGGAAGUGGCCGAAGCGGCGGAUCUCACCUGGAGGAGGAGGAGGGCAUCGCACCGCCUCUCCCGCCGCCGCCUACAUCCCCCGUGCACAGACACGUCUGCCCGAUAUCCAUGGCUUCCUGUGCUGUGCAUGAAUUAAUAAGGUCUAAAAUUUGCAAUAACAAUACCUUUGACUGACACUGCAACGCUGAAUGAUACCUUGUCUGAUGGGCAACUAACCGCUUAUGAGAACUGCUGGAAACCUUCAGUGUGCAUAAAACAAUCAACUGAGCAAUAAAACAAAGGUGAAAGUUCUAAUGAACAAGCAUCAGAUUUGAUUAACUAAAAGAAGUUUAAGUACUCUGGGUACUCCGCUGCCUGGAUGUAAUGCUGGUGGCAGAAAGGAUAUCCCUUCCUCAUUUGGACACUUCAGCUCUUUUCCUGUUGAACUGUUUGAGAGAACAAGGGACAGGAGGCAGCCAGGGCUCUGUACGUCCAGAGGAGGAACUUGUUGGAGGCAAACUAGUCAACAAAUGAAGAGAUGAGUCAAUAAAAGUUUUGCUGAAACCUGAGGGAUGUGGACCCAGUUUAUUACAGAAGCACAGAAUCACCAGGUUGGAAGAGACUUUCAAGAUCAUCGAGUCCAACCCAUGCCCCAACACCUCAACUAAACCAUGGCACCAAGUGCCACAUCCAGUGUUCUUUUAAACACAUUCAGGGAAGGUGACUCCACCACCUCCCCAGGCAGGAGGUCAUACUAUGUUGUUGACAUACAAUGAAGUUGUUUCAUAAAGUAGAAAUGUUCUGUAGUCCUUGUUUUAUAGAAACUGCAUUUUCCUGAACAGCAAACAGCUCAUAUUAGGAUGUAAAAUAAAUGUUCAUUAAAAUGUUAUCUAUAUCUGACUGAUAGCCUGAGUAUAGAAUGAAACAAAACCAUCUACUUCCUAAUGAACUCUCUUGUGUGUGUAUGGACUUCAGCUUCCUAGCAGAUUGUCAGUCACAAAUGCAAAUUUAUCCUAGUAAAAAAAACCAAAACAACAACCAAAAAACCAAAAUCUAUUACAGGAUUGAAAAGCAAUAUCUCUUCAUAAUAUGUGACUUGGAGGGGAAAAUCUUUGAGAGAUUUUGUGACUUAACAUCUACUUGAUCAUUAAAGUUUCCUGACAUGCUAUGUUCCUACUGAA